This 251-nucleotide ribosomal RNA is filed under the name uncultured prokaryote. RNAcentral's name for it is "partial 16S rRNA". It matches the Rfam family "Bacterial small subunit ribosomal RNA", at positions 525 to 775 of the family's 1533-position model. The record is from RNAcentral.
ACGUAGGGGGCAAGCGUUAUCCGGAUUUACUGGGUGUAAAGGGCGCGUAGGCGGGAAUGUAAGUCAGUGGUGAAAGCCCGGGGCUCAACUCGAGAACUGCCUCUGAUACUGCAUAUCUUGAGUGCGGAAGAGGGAGGCGGAAUUCCAAGUGUAGUAGUGAAAUGCGUAGAUAUCUGGAAGAACACCAGUGGCGAAGGCGGCUUCCUGGACCGUAACUGACGCUGAGGCGCGAAAGCGUGGGGAGCAAACAG